UAUCUUAAUCCCAAAAUAGUACUGAGUAAUUCUAUAAUUAUAUAGAAAAUUUUAUGUUAAAACUAGUAACAAGAAGAAAACCCUUCUCUUAAAUGCAAGUGUAAAUCAGGAAGGAUAUACCACUGAUAUUUAACAUCCUUGAACCUGAAAUAGUAACCUAUCAAGAAAAGCCUACUCUCACCAAUGUUAACCUAACACAAGAGCAUUACAAGAAAGAUUAAAAGAAAAAGAAGGAACUCGGCAAAUUUUAACCUCGCCUGUUUACCAAAAACAUCGCCUCUUGAACCCUUAUAAGAGGUCCAGCCUGCCCAGUGACUCUGUUCAACGGCCGCGGUAUCCUAACCGUGCGAAGGUAGCGUAAUCACUUGUUCUUUAAAUGUGGACUAGUAUGAAUGGCAUCACGAAGGUUAUACUGUCUCCUUUUUCUAAUCAGUGAAACUAAUCUCCCCGUGAAGAAGCGAGGAUAAAACUAUAAGACGAGAAGACCCUAUGGAGCUUUAAACAUUUAUAACACUUGCUAAAUAAAAUACAAAUUUCAGAAUUAUUUACUCUUUAAGCAACUUGUCUAUAAGUUUUUGGUUGGGGUGACCGCGGAGCAUAAUACAACCUCCAUGUUGAAAGAUCUAUUUCUAAGCUAAGAGCUACACCUCUAAGCAUCAACAUAUUGACAUCCAUUGACCCAAUAUAUUUGAACAACGAACCAAGUUACCCUAGGGAUAACAGCGCAAUCCACUUCAAGAGCUCCUAUCGACAAGUGGGUUUACGACCUCGAUGUUGGAUCAGGGUUUCCCAGUGGUGCAGCCGC
The sequence is a ribosomal RNA, 805 nucleotides long. It matches the Rfam family "Bacterial large subunit ribosomal RNA", at positions 1451 to 2562 of the family's 2925-position model.